UUGAUUCACUCAUAGGGUCUUUGCAUCGGAAAUAAACACAUUUAUUCUAAAACCAGUUGUUGGCAUGAUACGGGUUAUGUUUUUCUCAUAUAUUUUAUGAUGGUAUGAUACUAAACCCCUAACGGGAGGGAUUGUACUUGAUUUUCAUAUGAUGAAGACAUAAUCUUUCAAUCAGUUUAAUUGAGGUCUGGAGCUGGCAUGUCAGUAACUGCUAGUAGUCCUUUGUUCAUUUAUGUAUCAUUGUCAUUUUGCUUAUUUCUUUUGUUACCUAUUCUGACAUCGGACUCGGACUUCUUUUAAACUGAGUUUUACUGUGCAUAUUGCUAUGUGUUUCUUUUUUCUACAUUGACUAGAGGUAUAGGGGGAGGGUUGAGAUCUCACAAAACAUGUUUAACCCCGUCGCAUUUUUGUGCCUGUCCCAAGUCAGGAGCCUCUGGCCUUUGUUAGUCUUGUAUGUUUUUUAAUUUUAGUUCAUUUAUAUGUUUUGGAGUUUAGUGUGACAUCCAUUUUCACUGAACUA
Molecule: long non-coding RNA, 520 nt
Organism: Mytilus californianus (California mussel)
Lineage: Eukaryota; Metazoa; Mollusca; Bivalvia; Mytilida; Mytilidae
Exons: 2
Source: RefSeq, a predicted model, not a curated record